This 312-nucleotide ribosomal RNA is filed under the name uncultured Sediminicola sp. RNAcentral describes it as "bacterial SSU rRNA". It matches the Rfam family "Bacterial small subunit ribosomal RNA", at positions 28 to 334 of the family's 1533-position model. The record is from RNAcentral. Lineage: Bacteria; Pseudomonadati; Bacteroidota; Flavobacteriia; Flavobacteriales; Flavobacteriaceae.
GAUGAACGCUAGCGGCAGGCCUAACACAUGCAAGUCGAACGGCAGCGGGAAGGAGCUUGCUCCUUUGCCGGCGAGUGGCGCACGGGUGCGUAACGCGUAUACAAUCUACCUUUCGCUGAGGGAUAGCCCAGAGAAAUUUGGAUUAAUACCUCAUGGUAUUAUUGAUAGGCAUCUAUUAAUAAUUAAAGGUUACGGCAAAAGAUGAGUAUGCGUCCCAUUAGCUAGUUGGUGAAGUAACGGUUCACCAAGGCAACGAUGGGUAGGGGUCCUGAGAGGGAGAUCCCCCCACACUGGUACUGAGACACGGACCAG